This 411-nucleotide ribosomal RNA is filed under the name uncultured bacterium. RNAcentral's name for it is "bacterial SSU rRNA". It matches the Rfam family "Bacterial small subunit ribosomal RNA", at positions 355 to 774 of the family's 1533-position model. The record is from RNAcentral.
UCGAGGAUCUUCGGCAAUGGGCGAAAGCCUGACCGAGCGACGCCGCGUGUGCGAUGAAGGCCUUCGGGUUGUAAAGCACUGUCGUGGGGGAGAAAGACCGCAAGGUUUGAUCGACCCCAGGAGGAAGCUCGGGCUAAGUUCGUGCCAGCAGCCGCGGUAAGACGAACCGAGCGAACGUUAUUCGGAAUCACUGGGCUUAAAGGGCGCGUAGGCGGGCGGUCAAGUCCGGGGUGAAAGCCCCCAGCUCAACUGGGGAAGUGCCUCGGAUACUGAUCGCCUCGAGGGAGAUAGGGGCGUGCGGAACUUCCGGUGGAGCGGUGAAAUGCGUAGAUAUCGGAAGGAACACCGGUGGCGAAAGCGGCGCGCUGGAUCUCUUCUGACGCUGAGGCGCGAAAGCCAGGGGAGCGAACG